RNAcentral lists this transfer RNA (86 nucleotides) under Acidobacteriota bacterium. RNAcentral's name for it is "Acidobacteria bacterium tRNA-Lys". Lineage: Bacteria; Pseudomonadati; Acidobacteriota. The record is from RNAcentral.
GAUGGUGAUUCUAGCCCGAAACAGUUUUGGUCAAUAAGUGGCUUUUAACCAUUGGGUCCCAGGUUCGAGUCCUGGUCGGAUCACCA